This 575-nucleotide long non-coding RNA is filed under the name Gallus gallus (chicken). RNAcentral describes it as "lncRNA (ENSGALG00010029886.1)". The record is from RNAcentral. Lineage: Eukaryota; Metazoa; Chordata; Aves; Galliformes; Phasianidae.
GUGGCAUCUCCACGUAGCAAGCACCAAAGGAGGACUUGGAAGGUACCUCAUCCCCAGGGGCUUUUCCAGAUAUAUCCUAUCAUGCUAGGCGUACUAAAGGUGCUGGUAGAUGCUAAGGAGAAUGUUAAAGUGUACUUCUUGGUAACAUAAGUUUGCCUUCCAGUAGCUCUUUGCACCUGCAGUUUUAUUAAAAUGGUACCGGUGUUCACCUCAACACCUCGGCUGGGAAAUCUACAGUAGAGUCACCAUCUCUGUGAGCAGUGAGAUGUGCAGAGCUGGAAAGUCAGCAGAGGAAGAGAGCUGCUUUUGCCUGGCAUCUCCAGUCCUCCUCCCUCCUUCACCUGGAAGCUGGGAGUGCCAAUGUCGCUCUUGCACCCGCCCUACCUAAUGAGCUUGCCUGCAGAAGCAUCACCAGGCCCUCAGCACUGCAGAAGACACGAAUGGAGUCUGUACUCUUCUCACUGCCAGCUUGUGUGGAACAGCUUUGCUUCAUCAAGAUGGCUUUAGGAGCAACCCCAGCACAGUGCCUUUACAAAGGUUCCCUCAGUUCACAUAAUUACUGCUUUUGAAAAGAC